Molecule: transfer RNA, 72 nt
Organism: Ovis aries (sheep)
Lineage: Eukaryota; Metazoa; Chordata; Mammalia; Artiodactyla; Bovidae
Rfam family: tRNA
About the family: Transfer RNA (tRNA) molecules are approximately 80 nucleotides in length.
Source: Rfam
UCCCUGGUGGCUCAGUUGGUAAAGAAUCCGCCUGCAAUGCAGGAGACCCAGGUUCGGUCCCUGGGUAGGGAA